RNAcentral lists this ribosomal RNA (1482 nucleotides) under uncultured rumen bacterium. RNAcentral's name for it is "bacterial SSU rRNA". It matches the Rfam family "Bacterial small subunit ribosomal RNA". The record is from RNAcentral.
AGAGUUUGAUCCUGGCUCAGGAUGAACGCUAGCUACAGGCUUAACACAUGCAAGUCGAGGGGCAGCGAGAAGAAAGCUUGCUUUCUUUGUCGGCGACCGGCGCACGGGUGAGUAACGCGUAUCCAACCUUCCCUAUACUAGAGGAUAGCCCGGCGAAAGUCGGAUUAAUACUCUAUGUUCUUCGUAGAAGACAUCUGAAAUGAAGCAAAGAUUUAUCGGUAUAGGAUGGGGAUGCGUCUGAUUAGGUUGUUGGCGGGGUAACGGCCCACCAAGCCUACGAUCAGUAGGGGUUCUGAGAGGAAGGUCCCCCACAUUGGAACUGAGACACGGUCCAAACUCCUACGGGAGGCAGCAGUGAGGAAUAUUGGUCAAUGGGCGAGAGCCUGAACCAGCCAAGUAGCGUGCAGGAUGACGGCCCUAUGGGUUGUAAACUGCUUUUAUAUGGGGAUAAAGUGAGGGACGCGUCCCUUUUUGUAGGUACCAUAUGAAUAAGGACCGGCUAAUUCCGUGCCAGCAGCCGCGGUAAUACGGAAGGUCCGGGCGUUAUCCGGAUUUAUUGGGUUUAAAGGGAGCGCAGGCUGGCUUUUAAGCGUGACGUGAAAUGUGGAUGCUCAACAUCCGAGCUGCGUCGCGAACUGGAGGCCUUGAGUGAGUACGACGGAGGCGGAAUUCGUGGUGUAGCGGUGAAAUGCUUAGAUAUCACGAAGAACCCCGAUUGCGAAGGCAGCCUCCGAGUCCUUUACUGACGCUAAAGCUCGAAAGUGCGGGUAUCGAACAGGAUUAGAUACCCUGGUAGUCCGCACGGUAAACGAUGGAUGCCCGCUGUUUGCCUUUGAGGUAUGUGGCCAAGGGAAACCAUUAAGCAUCCCACCUGGGGAGUACGCCGGCAACGGUGAAACUCAAAGGAAUUGACGGGGGCCCGCACAAGCAGAGGAGCAUGUGGCUUAAUUCGAUGCAACGCGAAGAACCUUACCUGGGCUUGACAUCCAGCUGCACGGCCUGUGAAAGCAGGCUUCCUUCGAGGGUGCUGGACAGGUGCUGCAUGGCUGUCGUCAGUUCGUGCCGUGAGGUGUUUGGUUAAGUCCACCAACGAACGCAACCCCUUUGGGAUGUUGCCAGCGGGUAAUGCCGGGAACUCGUCCCAGACUGCUUGUUCACGCAAGAGGAAGGUGGGGAUGACGUCAAGUCAGUAUGGCCCUUACGCCCAGGGCUGCACACGUGCUACAAUGGCCGGUACAGAGGGAAGCGAGACCGCAAGGUGGAGCCAACCCCAGAGAGCCGGCCCCAGUUCAGAUCGGGGUCUGCAACCCGACCCCGUGAAGUCGGAUUUGCUAGUAACGGCGCAUCAGCUACGGCGCCGUGAAUGCGUUCCCGGGCCUUGUACACACCGCCCGUCACAUCAUGAAAGCCGUCUGCACCCGAAGUCGGGCAUUUGUCCGCCUAAGGUGUGGGUGGUGAUUGGGAUGAAGUCGUAACAAGGUA